This 332-nucleotide ribosomal RNA is filed under the name Staphylococcus aureus. RNAcentral's name for it is "bacterial SSU rRNA". It matches the Rfam family "Bacterial small subunit ribosomal RNA", at positions 1197 to 1528 of the family's 1533-position model. The record is from RNAcentral. Lineage: Bacteria; Bacillati; Bacillota; Bacilli; Caryophanales; Staphylococcaceae.
GCCCCUUAUGAUUUGGGCUACACACGUGCUACAUGGACAAUACAAUAGGCAGCGAAACCGCGAGGUCAAGCAAAUCCCAUAAAGUUGUUCUCAGUUCGGAUUGUAGUCUGCAACUCGACUACAUGAAGCUGGAAUCGCUAGUAAUCGUAGAUCAGCAUGCUACGGUGAAUACGUUCCCGGGUCUUGUACACACCGCCCGUCACACCACGAGAGUUUGUAACACCCGAAGCCGGUGGAGUAACCUUUUAGGAGCUAGCCGUCGAAGGUGGGACAAAUGAUUGGGGUGAAGUCGUAACAAGGUAGCCGUAUCGGAAGGUGCGGUUGGAUCACCU